This 313-nucleotide long non-coding RNA is filed under the name Mytilus galloprovincialis (Mediterranean mussel). The record is from RNAcentral. Lineage: Eukaryota; Metazoa; Mollusca; Bivalvia; Mytilida; Mytilidae.
UGUUGUUUUUUUUUUUUUAUUAAUUUUUAAAUAUUAUACCGUUCAUAAUUUACGCCAAUACUGUGAAACCAAUCUGAUGUGUUUUGUACAUUAUCACAGUGUCAUUUUAUUGUAUGUGUGUUGUGUGUAUGUGAUUACAAUAUGUACUUUAUUACUGUUUUACAAUUAACUUAUUUGCUCUCCGGUUUAUGUUCUAUCUGUUAUAUAUACAUAAACCUAUGGGAAUAGAUAAUAAUAUUACUAUACAUCUAUGAAUGUAAGGGGUUUAUUUUCUAAUAAAAAGAAAAGAUUGGAUGUCUUUGAUUGGGCAAAG